Long non-coding RNA from Venturia canescens, 1388 nucleotides. RefSeq lists it as uncharacterized. The record is from RefSeq and is a predicted model, not a curated record. The transcript is spliced from 2 exons. Lineage: Eukaryota; Metazoa; Arthropoda; Insecta; Hymenoptera; Ichneumonidae.
UUUUGUGCGCGCGACGGCUAAGAGGUUUUUCUCGCUUUUUACUGCUCACUCGUCUUGCUCGUGCUGAAGGCGGUGUGCUCUUUUGUAACGCGCUCGUGAUCGAAUUCUCUUCGAAUCUGCUUGAGAAAUCAUGGAAAAUUAUGGCCGAUCGUCUUAACGACGAUUGUCGAUUUCGAUUUGGUCGAGUCUCACUAAAAUGGGGCUUCAAAUGAUUUUCUUAUCAAUCGAUCAGAGGUUUUAUUAAAAAAUGAAAAAAUUGAUGUUUUUGGAGGGAAAGACCACGAAAAUUUUCAUUCUACGGUUCAUUUUUCUUAGAUUUUAUCAUCCGCAGCCUGAUAUUUCAUGCUCGCCAUUAUUUAACCAUUCGUGAAUCUUUAUAGAUUACUUUUAUCUGAGGAAUUUCGCGUGAACGCUUCCGAGCGAGAAGUGCGUGAUGCUGCAAUCCCGUUUAUCUGUUCCGCCCGAGCAUACGAGCGAUGCCGUAGCAUCGAGGACUCACCACCGAAAAUCCGAGGACGUUUUUGGCCCCCGUUUGUUCUCUAAUCGUCGGUGCAGCUCUGUACACAAAAACUGGGGUGUCUUAUCAGUGGACUUCCGGUACGUUAGACGCGCGAAUUAUUGCGGCCACCAGUCACAGUUGGCCUCUUCCUCUCGCUAUCAGUGUCGCCCCCCUUGCCAUGCCUUAUAGGACACUAAAUGCUAGCCAUUGUGUCUCCUCGUGUCGAGGACGAGACUCCGAGGGAUAUUCGACUCCAUUGAUUCUCUUCAUUAUCGCGUCCGAGGAUCCAGAGAAGACGUUCAACGAAAGUGAAUUUUCGUCGCUUCAACUUUGCACUGCCGUCAAAAUUUCAACAAACUUGGACACCUCUGCAGUCGCUUCUCUCCUGAUCUUCGAGACAAUAAUCUCAUACGGAGAGAUGAGCCUUGUUAUUUGGUCGCCUGUUUUGAUUCUGGUGAACCGCAAACCUGAACAAAGUCACGAGGACCGAGCAAAAAAAAGGGAGGCGAAAGGGCUCGUGUCGGUGAAGCGAUAAUCGCCCGGCACCGCGGGCGACUUCCUGGAGCACAUUUAACGUCCGGCGACGAAGCCCGUCGCGAUUCGCUGUGUCCGCACCCUCGAUAAUGCCCCGCAUCUACACGUGCCAUCUCGAUAAAUCAUCGGGGAAAAUAGCGCGAUAGAUUUGUCCGCGCGUAAACUGGAAACGUCCCUGGCACGUGUGGACCUCGUAAUAAACGAAAAUUUAUGCAAAAAUAACGAAUCCAUUGCUGCGGCGCAACAAAUUUCUUUGGAAUAAAAAAAUGAUUCAUUCGCUCUGCGGCGGCUUAGUCUGUUUGGAAUCACAAUAAAAACGGGCACGGAGACGCGAGGUUUCCCGGCCACUUCGUCA